UCUGUUGUCCUUUAAAGUAAAGCAGUAUUCGGAUUUGGGGAUGCUCGUGCCUUCUGGUCACCUAGUUUGGCCGUAGCCAAGCAUAGGGGACGAAUCCCCAAUUUCAUCAUUCCCGCGCAGCAGCCCUCAAUGUUUUCCUCCAUUGCAUUUUCUGUAUAGCAUGCAUUCUCUCACAGCGGAACUGCUGGGUGAAGGCCACACAAUGGACCAAAUCUACAAAGGUUUCAUCCUCUUUAUUGGUUUUCUGAAUAAGGGAGGAGUUUCUGAAAAUCAGUUGUUUGAAUGCUUCGUACUCUCUAUUGGUGUUCUGAACCCAUGAGGAGUACCUGAAAAUAUGCUAUUCUGAGUUGGUGAAGACCGUGAGGAGUAUCCACGAACAAUUGUUGUAAACGUGAUUUUGGAGAGUCGGGGACCGUCCUUUCCGUACGAUCUGUUCCAAGCCUUUUCCCUCUCCAUUGUCAACUAGUGUUAUGCAUUUGGAAGAGCUUGGAAAUUGAAAUUAGAAGAUUUAGAGGGAGCAUUGUUGGAGACAGAAUUUGUUGUACGUGAGUUUUAGAACAACGCCAAACCUUUGUUCCGCCACAACUCUAGGUCUUUGAGUUGAGCUUGCUUGCACUUACCCUACUUGCUCAAUGUGUUAUAUUUCUUAGAGAGUAGAAAGAAGUACAUCGUCAACCCUCAAGCAGAAAAGGUUAUUAAGUUUGAAAGUAACCUGAAGAAUAUGUAGGCAUGCAUGGAGGACUACGAGCAGCAAAUGGCGAGGAUGAAAGAUAGAGAAGAGUGCAUGGAUAACAUCAUAAAGCACUAUGACAUAUGCUGCACCAGUAAACUCGCUCAAAUACUAUGGUGAGUGGCUUUUACUUUACAAUUAGCUUUUUAAUUUUAAGUUGAAACUCAAAUAUGGCAGCAAUACCUUGCAGCGGUAGUUUCGGACAAUUUUUAUGAUGAAUAUUUUGUUUUUAGUGAACUUGAAGACACCUUUUGAUAAAUAUAUUGUUGGAAUAAUGAUUAAAAAUACAUAGUAAUAGAUAGCAUGGUAGAUGAUUAUUUUAAUGUUUAAAAUUUUAUAACUUGUAGUUCUUCAAUUUAAUGCUUUGAUAAUGUGCAUGAGUGCUUUAGAGAAGGGAUGAAAUCAGUAAGCAAUGGGGUGAUUUGAUCUUUGUAUUGGUUGUACUGAAGUAGGUGUUGUGAUUUAGUCUUAGGAGUGGAUUGUUUUGAUGGUAGAAAUGCUCUAUUCAGUGAUUAUGAGUCUUUAUUUGUUGUUUUUCCCUUUGUCUGGUUGUGUUUUAGUGAUUGAAUCUGAAUGAUAGUGUUGCAAAGUUGAGUUUUUGAGUUCCUAGUUUUAAUUCCUUUCAUCGAAUCUGGAAAUGGGAAAGUAAAAAAUAAUGUACGAACUCAAGAACUAGGAGCUAAGAAAGUACUAGGUAAGCUCAUGCUUAAACAAGUGACUAAAUCCACCCGUUUGGAGUUUCUCCACUUUUUACUAUGAAAUUUUGUUUUUAACAUUAAAUUAGAGCCUGCUAGAUAACUGUUUUAAUGUUGAAAAAUUUAAUGACCAGUAUUUUUUCAAUUUAAUGCUUUGAUAAUAUGCAUAAGUGCUUAGCUAAGGCAGGACUAAAGAAAACAAAAGAAAAGAGUUUUUAGAAAUGGAUAAAGCAAAUUGUGUAGCAGUGGGAUCUGCGCAUGUGGAAGGGAACAGGUUUCUAGAGGGAGGCCAAGGAUGAAGCAAGAAGUUGGGUAAUUGCUGGACAAUAAAAACCUUUUUUAUUUUAUGUUAUUUUUUAUGCAUAACAUUUAACUCAAAUUGUCUUAUGUAUUUUGUUUGAUAUGCUUUUUUGAGACUCACACUAUGGCUUCUGUAUUUAUGGGGAGCCUCCUA
Long non-coding RNA from Malania oleifera, 1879 nucleotides. RefSeq lists it as uncharacterized. NCBI's taxonomy places the organism in Eukaryota, Viridiplantae, Streptophyta, Magnoliopsida, Santalales, Ximeniaceae. The transcript is spliced from 4 exons. The record is from RefSeq and is a predicted model, not a curated record.